Molecule: ribosomal RNA, 274 nt
Filed under: uncultured bacterium
Lineage: Bacteria
Description: partial 16S ribosomal RNA
Rfam family: Bacterial small subunit ribosomal RNA
Source: RNAcentral
AUACGGAGGGGGCUAGCGUUGUUCGGAAUUACUGGGCGUAAAGCGCGCGUAGGCGGAUUGAUCAGUCAGGGGUGAAAUCCCGAGGCAUAACCUCGGAACUGCCUCUGAUACUGUCAAUCUUGAGUUCGUGAGAGGUGAGUGGAAUUCCUAGUGUAGAGGUGAAAUUCGUAGAUAUUAGGAAGAACGCCAGUGGCGAAGGCGGCUCACUGGCUCGAUACUGACGCUGAGGUGCGAAAGCGUGGGGAGCAAACAGGAUUAGAAACCCUUGUAGUCC